Molecule: non-coding RNA, 73 nt
Organism: Phrynosoma platyrhinos (Desert horned lizard)
Lineage: Eukaryota; Metazoa; Chordata; Lepidosauria; Squamata; Phrynosomatidae
Source: the annotation of a GenBank genome assembly
GCCAGUGUGGUUUAGUGGUUUGAGUCCUGGACUAGGACCUCAGGAGACCAGGGUUCAAACCCUUGCUUAUCCA